This 395-nucleotide ribosomal RNA is filed under the name uncultured bacterium. RNAcentral describes it as "partial 16S ribosomal RNA". It matches the Rfam family "Bacterial small subunit ribosomal RNA", at positions 523 to 918 of the family's 1533-position model. The record is from RNAcentral.
AUACGUAGGGUGCAAGCGUUAAUCGGAAUUACUGGGCGUAAAGCGUGCGCAGGCGGUUUUGUAAGACAGUGGUGAAAUCCCCGGGCUCAACCUGGGAACUGCCAUUGUGACUGCAAGGCUGGAGUGCGGCAGAGGGGGAUGGAAUUCCGCGUGUAGCAGUGAAAUGCGUAGAUAUGCGGAGGAACACCGAUGGCGAAGGCAAUCCCCUGGGCAUGCACUGACUCUCAUGCACGAAAGCGUGGGGAGCAAACAGGAUUAGAUACCCUGGUAGUCCACGCCCUAAACGAUGUCAACUGGUUGUUGGGGAUUUAUUUUCUCAGUAACGAAGCUAACGCGUGAAGUUGACCGCCUGGGGAGUACGGCCGCAAGGUUAAAACUCAAAUGAAUUGACGGGG